UCCCUGGUGGCUCAGAGGUUAAAGCAUCUGCCUGCAAUGCGGGAGACCUGGGUUUGAUCCCUGGGCUGGGAA
Molecule: transfer RNA, 72 nt
Filed under: Odocoileus virginianus texanus
Lineage: Eukaryota; Metazoa; Chordata; Mammalia; Artiodactyla; Cervidae
Also listed under: 1 other name
Rfam family: tRNA
About the family: Transfer RNA (tRNA) molecules are approximately 80 nucleotides in length. Their secondary structure includes four short double-helical elements and three loops (D, anti-codon, and T loops). Further hydrogen bonds mediate the characteristic L-shaped molecular structure. tRNAs have two regions of fundamental functional importance: the anti-codon, which is responsible for specific mRNA codon recognition, and the 3' end, to which the tRNAs corresponding amino acid is attached (by aminoacyl-tRNA synthetases). tRNAs cope with the degeneracy of the genetic code in two manners: having more than one tRNA (with a specific anti-codon) for a particular amino acid; and 'wobble' base-pairing, i.e. permitting non-standard base-pairing at the 3rd anti-codon position.
Source: Rfam by way of RNAcentral